CUCAUUCGCUAUCUUCUCAAGCCUCUGCGGCAGCCGAGGAUCAUAUCUGACAUCCUCGUAAGUUUCUUAGUAAUCUCGUAGUAUAAUUUUCAAAUGAGAAAAGAUCCAAAUUUACCUCGUUAUAUUAUACGAAAUGUUUUAAUUUUAUUCUUUGUCAUUUAUAUCCUUGUUAGCAAAUAGUCUCGUAUUUGAGCUUUAACUUUAAUGAAGCACCAGCAUGGACUACUAGGUGGAUUCAACACGUCAAAAUGCUUUUGGAAAAAGCUCCAAAUGUACCUCUUUACUUUUUCUUACAGUUUAAAAUUACUCGUUGAUCCAUUGUCCUUCAGGGUGGAGCUUAAUUAGAUCCAAGGGCGAUUACGAGAUGAUGUGUUAACUGCAAGCAUACAAAUAAUCUUAAAGUAUAAUGGAUAAUAAAAUUAAAUACAGUAGAAGAGUAUUAUCUCUAUCAUGGGCGGAGCUAGGGUUGUAGAAGGAGUCGAACUCUCUUCGCAAAAAAAUUACAAUGUGUAUAUAACAUUUAACGUUUUUGUUAUAUACAUAUAAUAGU
Molecule: long non-coding RNA, 550 nt
Filed under: Nicotiana tabacum (common tobacco)
Lineage: Eukaryota; Viridiplantae; Streptophyta; Magnoliopsida; Solanales; Solanaceae
Description: long non-coding RNA (NTAB_LNC017534)
Source: RNAcentral